CCUACGGGAGGCAGCAGUGGGGAAUUUUGGACAAUGGGCGAAAGCCUGAUCCAGCAAUGCCGCGUGUGGGAAGAAGGCCUUCGGGUUGUAAACCACUUUUGUACGGAACGAAACGGCUCGCUUUAAUACAGUGGGCUAAUGACGGUACCGUAAGAAUAAGCACCGGCUAACUACGUGCCAGCAGCCGCGGUAAUACGUAGGGUGCGAGCGUUAAUCGGAAUUACUGGGCGUAAAGCGUGCGCAGGCGGUUAUAUAAGACAGUUGUGAAAUCCCCGGGCUCAACCUGGGAAUUGCAUCUGUGACUGUAUAGCUAGAGUACGGUAGAGGGGGAUGGAAUUCCGCGUGUAGCAGUGAAAUGCGUAGAUAUGCGGAGGAACACCGAUGGCGAAGGCAAUCCCCUGGACCUGUACUGACGCUCAUGCACGAAAGCGUGGGGAGCAAACAGGAUUAGAUACCCUGGUAGUCCACGCCCUAAACGAUGUCAACUGGUUGUUGGGUGCAUUAGUACUCAGUAACGAAGCUAACGCGUGAAGUUGACAGCCUGGGGAGUACGGCCGCAAGGUUGAAACGUCAAAUGAAAUUGACGG
This 587-nucleotide ribosomal RNA is filed under the name uncultured bacterium. RNAcentral describes it as "bacterial SSU rRNA". It matches the Rfam family "Bacterial small subunit ribosomal RNA", at positions 338 to 916 of the family's 1533-position model. The record is from RNAcentral.